CCUACGGGAGGCAGCAGUAGGGAAUCUUUCACACUGGGCGAAAGCCUGAUGGAGCAACGCCGCGUGCAGGAUGAAGGCCUUCGGGUUGUAAACUGCUUUUAUAAGCGAGAAAUAUGAUGGUAACUUAUGAAUAAGGAUCGGCUAACUACGUGCCAGCAGCCGCGGUCAUACGUAGGAUCCGAGCAUUAUCCGGAGUGACUGGGUGUAAAGAGUUGCGUAGGUGGCAUAAUAAGUAGCUAGUGAAAUCUGGUGGCUCAACCAUUCAGACUAUUAGCUAAACUGUUAAGCUCGAGACCGUUAGGGGUAACUGGAAUUUCUAGUGUAGGAGUGAAAUCCGUAGAUAUUAGAAGGAACACCAAUAGCGUAGGCAGGUUGCUGGGACGGUUCUGACACUAAGGCACGAAAGCGUAGGGAGCAAACGGGAUUAGAUACCCCAGUAGUC
This 442-nucleotide ribosomal RNA is filed under the name uncultured bacterium. Its description in RNAcentral is "partial 16S ribosomal RNA". It matches the Rfam family "Bacterial small subunit ribosomal RNA", at positions 338 to 795 of the family's 1533-position model. The record is from RNAcentral.